AAGGAGCACCAUUUACAUGCCCUGAUCCAGGGUUUCCCCCAUCCCCGCAACAGUGCGGGACUCGGUGGUUGGGAUUGUCGCCGGCGCCUGUAGUGGGCUUGUCCGGCGGGUGCAUAUGACAACAAACGUUCGGCCGGCUGGAAAGCGUUGGUCGUGAAGAAUUGCCAGACACACUGUUGGGUCCUGAGACAACAGGCCCGUUCGCUCCCCUCCUCAUGUGGGGGUGGGAGACACCGCUCCGUUGGGGGUGGUGGGGGUUGUU
This 262-nucleotide unclassified non-coding RNA is filed under the name Mycolicibacterium mucogenicum. Its description in RNAcentral is "partial 16S-23S ribosomal RNA intergenic spacer". Lineage: Bacteria; Bacillati; Actinomycetota; Actinomycetes; Mycobacteriales; Mycobacteriaceae. The record is from RNAcentral.